AUAUAAAAUAACUGUAAUAGAAGCGGUAAAUGAGUUCAGUGAGUAUAU
RNAcentral lists this non-coding RNA (48 nucleotides) under Trypanosoma brucei brucei. The record is from RNAcentral. Lineage: Eukaryota; Euglenozoa; Kinetoplastea; Trypanosomatida; Trypanosomatidae.